CGCUUUGCCGGACCUGUGCAGUUGAUGGUUUUCUCCCAAAGCAACCUUACGGACAUUAAAUCAUCUUGCACAACAGGAUAUUUUAGUAUUGCCCCUUUGGGAUGAGAGAAGUGAGGGAGAAGACUGUUAUAGCACCUUUUAGGGGAUUUAUUUUAUUCUCCUGAUUCUGGUGCCUUGAUGUUCGAGUUUGUUGGCUACUGAAUGUGUGCGCUGUACAUGCACUU
Molecule: long non-coding RNA, 224 nt
Organism: Schistocerca piceifrons (Central American locust)
Lineage: Eukaryota; Metazoa; Arthropoda; Insecta; Orthoptera; Acrididae
Exons: 3
Source: RefSeq, a predicted model, not a curated record